This 1221-nucleotide ribosomal RNA is filed under the name Triticum aestivum (bread wheat). Its description in RNAcentral is "partial small subunit ribosomal RNA". Lineage: Eukaryota; Viridiplantae; Streptophyta; Magnoliopsida; Poales; Poaceae. The record is from RNAcentral.
AUGGACAGAUCAACUGCAUCGCAGCCAAAUGAAUCUCAAAAAGAAUCAGUGGGCAAACCGAAGGGAGAAGGAACUGAAAGCUGCAUCAGCGUCGUGUGGCCGGCGGCCACUGUCGCUCUUCCCCGUUGCAGACGAGGGGGCGGGGCAGAAGAGGUGAUCGCGGUAGCGAAUGGGAGGGGGGGGGUGAUGAGAAAAUGGCGACUGCGGAAGCGGACGAGGGGGCCGGCGGUGGACGGCAGAGGCGAUUGCGGCGGACGGCGGAGGCGGCGAACGACUGGGACAAGGGGAAGGAGCGCACCUGAGCCGACUCAUCUGCGUGGUCACCUCUCGUCCAGGAGCCGAGAUAGUGUCGUUGGAGCCGAGCGUGUCAGCAGAUGCGAUCGGGUACGCACAGGAGGAGGUUUGCAGCCGGUCUCCACCGAAUUUUUUUUCGCCUGCCACGCGAGGCAACUUUGGGCCGCGGCCUGCUACGCGCCGCGCGAACAAAGAAAGUCCGACGGCAUCGGCGCGACCGAUCGGCCCUUCUUCUCUCUCGACGACCAACGUAUCGAGGAGUGCGAUGAUGGGGACGGGCUGCCCUGCCCCGACGACCUCGUCGACGAGGCCCUCAUCUCCUCCCUGCCCGUCCUGGACGACAACUUCCUAGAGGCCCUCGGAGUCGACUGCUCGCCGCCGGCGCCCAUGGAUGUGGACGUGGACCUGCGGGUCACCCGCAGCCCGGCCGCCGGCCCCAAGACCAACUCCGGCGGUGCGUUCCCGCGCUGGGACGUGCCCACGAAGCCGCGCCGCCGGCCGCAAGCGGCCCUGUUGAGUUCGAGUUACAGCAGCGACGGCAACGCCGACGACUUGGGUGGUGGCCGGCGGCGGUCGGCGGGGCGGAAGCGGGACCAGGCGCCGGAGGACCAGGAAUGCGGGCACUGCCACACGACGGACACGCCGCAGUGGCGGAACGGGCCGGACGGGCCGGGCACGCUGUGCAACGCGUGCGGCAUCCGGUUCAGGAUGGGCAGGGACAAGCUGGUGCCGGAGUACCGGCCGUCGACGAGCCCAUUCUUCCGCAGCGGGGAGCACUCCAACCGCAACAGCAAGGUGCAGAAGCUCAGGGAGAAGAAGGUGAAGGCCCUCAAGCUCUACGGCGAUGGCGGCAGCUCCGGUGCACCUCGUGGCGCCAUGACGCUGGCGAAGGUCGCCGGCAAUGUAGAUACUCGUUCAGUUCUUUAG